CCAAAGUUGGAUUUUUCCGAUUUCCCAGCUGUCCUGAAGCAGCACAAGGACAAGGCUUUUCUUUUCUCCAGUCAUGGUUGUCUUCUUAUCAAAAUGCUUUGCUAGCUCUACUUGCUGUGUUUGGAUUUGCUUCAAUCAGGUGGCCAAGGUGUGCACACCAGAAGGAGCAGCACAAUGUCCCUUGAAUUAAAGCAAAAAAAAGUGAAUAACAGGCCCAACGCAGUUUCUCAGCUCAUGACGUGCCAAUGAACCGAGGUGAACAUCUGCCAUUUCCAACCAACUGUUGCCAUGUCAUAGCAAAGCCAAACGGGAUUAGGACACUCACUCGGUUGUCGGAGCUGGGGAUCAUCGUAUCUGUCAUCCAGGAGCCGAACCUGGACCCCGACGCGCGGACCGUGAUGGGAUUACUGACGCCGGUGAGCUUCCCGCAGCCUGCAGGUCAAAGAAGAGAUAAAGGGAGGAAGUGUGACGAAUGAAUUUGGAGCCGGCGAGAGACAGGAAGACAAAGGGCCCGACAGACAAUCGCAGCUUGUGUUCGCUUGUAAGGAGAUAAGGUGGAAAUGGAUGGCAACAAGGGGUCACGGGGCGCUGGAGCCUAUCCCUCGGGCGAAUGGCGGACUACACCCUGAACUGGUCGCCAGUCAGUCGCAGGGCAAGGACAACCAUUCGCACCGUCACUGAGUGGGAACUGAACCCACGCUGCCCGCGCCAAAGUCAGGCGAGAUGCCACUACAUCAUCAGUGACGUUUUCUGCAACAGUUAACCAAAGUAGACUUUUUUUGGUUUUUAACUAAUUUUAAUUUUUCAUACGCAUUUAGGAAUCACCUCACUAAAUAAUUGUAUGAUUAAUUAAUUAUAAAUAAUAAAAUAAAAAAUGGGAAUGCGAUACAAUUUCACGUAUUUAAGUUUUUUAUAUUUUUAAAUGUCAUUGAAGAAUAAUCUCACCCAUCAAUCAAAUGUGGCCCUUGAGCGAAAACUUUUGCCUGCCCAUGACGCCUGCUACGUGAAUCAUUGCGCAUUAGUCACCAAAGUAACAACAGGCUGUUUUAUUCGGCUUUAU
This is a long non-coding RNA of Phyllopteryx taeniolatus (common seadragon), 1060 nucleotides long. RefSeq lists it as uncharacterized. The record is from RefSeq and is a predicted model, not a curated record. Lineage: Eukaryota; Metazoa; Chordata; Actinopteri; Syngnathiformes; Syngnathidae. The transcript is spliced from 6 exons.